Molecule: transfer-messenger RNA, 402 nt
Filed under: Patescibacteria group
Lineage: Bacteria
Also listed under: 2 other names
Description: GWC2-37-13 sp002788805 Standard tmRNA
Rfam family: transfer-messenger RNA
About the family: Bacterial tmRNA, also known as 10Sa RNA or SsrA, is named for its dual tRNA and mRNA-like properties. Its role is to liberate the mRNA from a stalled ribosome. To accomplish this part of the tmRNA is used as a reading frame that ends in a translation stop signal.
Source: RNAcentral
GGGGAUGCAAGGCAUCGACGGGAAAUUAGCACUUUUACAAACGGUCUAGACGAACCUGUUGCGUUAAACGGAAAAAACAACUGAUAAAUCUUUAUCAGCUGAAGAGGUUGCGUAUCUGAAAAGCGGAAUGAGGUUUAAUCAACCUUUGCUCGCUUAUGCAGGUUACGUUAACUAAUUCCCUCUCUUUUGAUUUUGUCCGAUUCAAUCAUAAGAGGGGAAAACCAAUCGGAAUAAGGUCUUAAAAAGUAAUUAGUUGUAUUUAAGAUCGACAAAUUUAACUAACUUCUUAGUCCGAUUUGAUUAUUUAAGCGGCUAAGACAGAGUAAAAAUAAUCUAUUCUAGACAAAACGUUUGUAGCGAGUGUUUUCUCGGACGCGGGUUCAACUCCCGCCAUCUCCACAC